This 510-nucleotide ribosomal RNA is filed under the name uncultured bacterium. RNAcentral's name for it is "partial 16S ribosomal RNA". It matches the Rfam family "Bacterial small subunit ribosomal RNA", at positions 28 to 507 of the family's 1533-position model. The record is from RNAcentral.
GACGAACGCUGGCGGCGUGCUUAACACAUGCAAGUCGAACGAAGAGCGAUGGAAGCUUGCUUCUAUCAAUCUUAGUGGCGAACGGGUGAGUAACGCGUAAUCAACCUGCCCUUCAGAGGGGGACAACAGUUGGAAACGACUGCUAAUACCGCAUACGAUCUAAUCUCGGCAUCGGGGAUAGAUGAAAGGUGGCCUCUACAUGUAAGCUAUCACUGAAGGAGGGGAUUGCGUCUGAUUAGCUAGUUGGAGGGGUAACGGCCCACCAAGGCGAUGAUCAGUAGCCGGUCUGAGAGGAUGAACGGCCACAUUGGGACUGAGACACGGCCCAGACUCCUACGGGAGGCAGCAGUGGGGAAUCUCCCGCAAUGGACGAAAGUCUGACGGAGCAACGCCGCGGGAGUGAUGACGGCCUUCGGGUUGUAAAGCUCUGUUAAUCGGGACGAAAGGCCUUCUUGCGAAUAGUGAGGAGGAUUGACGGUACCGGAAUAGAAAGCCACGGCUAACUACGUG